This is a long non-coding RNA of Hypanus sabinus (Atlantic stingray), 436 nucleotides long. RefSeq lists it as uncharacterized. NCBI's taxonomy places the organism in Eukaryota, Metazoa, Chordata, Chondrichthyes, Myliobatiformes, Dasyatidae. The transcript has 3 exons. The record is from RefSeq and is a predicted model, not a curated record.
AAGACAUCAUAUGAAAGGGAAAAAGACACGUUUCAAGGCGAGAGCAACAAAGAUCCAGUUUAUCAACCAUUGUUUAAAGCAAUGACCCGGCCCCCCUAGCAUCACCUAUGAACUGAUUACUUACCUCUGCGCAUUGCCCAGUUAUCUACGCAUGUGCAUCAAUUCUGUCACUCUCUAGCUUUCUCACUCUUUGUUACAAUUUUACAAAAUCACUUGAGCCCUACACCACUGGUAAUAGCUGAGAACUUUAGAUUUCACAAAAGGAACCAGUCAAAGGAAGGAAGCAUUUCUGAAGGCGUUGCAGAACUAUGCAAACUUUUCCAAGACUGUGACUUUAGAGAUGGACUUUCUGAUGCAUUAACAGACAGGCUUGUAUGUGGUAUGCAUAGUCAAACCUCACAAAAAAGGCUACUGACAAAUAGAGUCCUAACCUUAG